Molecule: ribosomal RNA, 248 nt
Filed under: uncultured Actinomycetales bacterium
Lineage: Bacteria; Bacillati; Actinomycetota; Actinomycetes; Actinomycetales
Description: partial 16S ribosomal RNA
Rfam family: Bacterial small subunit ribosomal RNA
Source: RNAcentral
GGGUGCUCGAGUGGCGAACGGGUGAGUAACACGUGAGUAACCUGCCCUUGACUUUGGGAUAACUUCAGGAAACUGGGGCUAAUACCGGAUAGGAGCUCCUGCUGCAUGGUGGGGGUUGGAAAGUUUCGGCGGUUGGGGAUGGACUCGCGGCUUAUCAGCUUGUUGGUGGGGUAGUGGCUUACCAAGGCGGCGACGGGUAGCCGGCCUGAGGGGGUGGACGGCCACAUUGGGACUGAGAUACGGCCCAG